GAUGAACGCUGGCGGCGUGCCUAAUACAUGCAAGUCGAGCGAACGGACGAUAAGCUUGCUUCUCUGAUGUUAGCGGCGUACGGGUGAGUAACACGUGGAUAACCUACCUAUAAGACUGGGAUAACUUCUGGAAACCGUAGCUAAUACCGGCUAAUAUUUUGAACCGCAUGGUUCAAAAGUUAAAGACGGUCUUGCUGUCACUUAUAGAUGGAUCCGCGCUGCAUUAGCUAGUUGGUAAGGUAACGGCUUACCAAGGCAACGAUGCAUAGCCGACCUGAGAGGGUGAUCGGCCACACUGGAACUGAGACACGGGCCAGACUCCUAAGGGAGGCAGCAGUAGGGAAUAUUCCGCAAUGGGCGAAAGCCUGACGGAGAAACGCCGCGUGAGUGAAGAAGGUCUUCGGAUCGUAAAACUCUGUUAUUAGGGAAGAACAUAUGUGUAAGUAACUGUGCACAUCUUGACGGUACCUAAUCAGAAAGCAACGGCUAACUACGUG
RNAcentral lists this ribosomal RNA (497 nucleotides) under uncultured bacterium. Its description in RNAcentral is "partial 16S ribosomal RNA". It matches the Rfam family "Bacterial small subunit ribosomal RNA", at positions 28 to 507 of the family's 1533-position model. The record is from RNAcentral.